This 373-nucleotide ribosomal RNA is filed under the name uncultured organism. Its description in RNAcentral is "bacterial SSU rRNA". It matches the Rfam family "Bacterial small subunit ribosomal RNA", at positions 526 to 896 of the family's 1533-position model. The record is from RNAcentral.
CGUAGGGACCAAGCGUUGUUCGGAUUUACUGGGCGUAAAGGGCGCGUAGGCGGCGUGACAAGUCACUUGUGAAAUCUCUGGGCUUAACCCAGAACGGCCAAGUGAAACUGUUGUGCUAGAGUGCAGAAGGGGCAAUCGGAAUUCUCGGUGUAGCGGUGAAAUGCGUAGAUAUCGAGAGGAACACCAGAGGUGAAGACGGGUUGCUGGGCUGACACUGACGCUGAGGCGCGAAAGCCAGGGGAGCAAACGGGAUUAGAUACCCCGGUAGUCCUGGCCCUAAACGAUGAAUACUUGGUGUCUGGAGUUAUUAGUGCUCCGGGUGCCGUCGCUAACGUUUUUAGUAUUCCGCCUGGGGAGUACGCUCGCAAGAGUG